Molecule: non-coding RNA, 396 nt
Organism: Cinara cedri
Lineage: Eukaryota; Metazoa; Arthropoda; Insecta; Hemiptera; Aphididae
Source: the annotation of a GenBank genome assembly
AUAUGUUAAAAAAUAUUAAUUAUUUAGUUAUUAUUUAUUAUCUAAAAUGUAUUAAAGUAAGAAAUUAUUUUUAAAAUUGGUUUGAACAUUUAAAAUAUUGUUAAAAUUAUUUUUCUUUAUGACAUUGUGUAUGUGUAAUUCUAGUAAAACUGAAUUAAUGUUAAUGUUAUUUUGGGUAUUUAAUAUUUUUAAAUAUGUAUUAAUAUCAAAACUUAUUUUAUGGUUAUUUUCUAAAACAUGUUUGGCAAAAUUUGAAUUAAGGGCAGUCUUAUUUAAUUUUAUUUCAAAAAUGUGUUCUUUAUAUCUUAUUUUAAAAUUUCUAUUUGUCUUACCUACAUACAAUUUAUUACAGUUACAUUUAAGUUUAUAUAUAUCAGCAUUGUCAAAAGAAGGUGG